This is a long non-coding RNA of Glossina fuscipes, 253 nucleotides long. RefSeq lists it as uncharacterized. The record is from RefSeq and is a predicted model, not a curated record. Lineage: Eukaryota; Metazoa; Arthropoda; Insecta; Diptera; Glossinidae. The transcript has 4 exons.
AUAUGACAUGACGAUUUUUAAACUUCUCGCAAUGGAGGAGCGUUACUAAACAUACUGCCAAAAGAAUGAGAUCUGAAAUUGGGAAUGAAUUCACGCUUUCUCCGCGCUGACAACGUUGAAAAGGAUUUUCGAGUCUUUCGAAAUGUGGUCAGGCCCUCACGGUGGUUUAUUAUAGACACUAAUCAUGUAAUAUUUGAGUACAUCUCGCUUUUCCAAGCUGAAAUAAAUUUAUAUGUUUUGAAAAACCGUGAAA